UAGUCAUAUGCUUGUCUCAAAGAUUAAGCCAUGCAAGUCUAAGUAUAAGCAUUUAUACUGUGAAACUGCGGAAAGCUCAUUAUAUCAGUUAUAGUUUAUUUGAUGGUACACCCACUACAUGGAUAACCGUAGUAAUUCUAGAGCUAAUACAUGCCCAGGUGCGGCGACUUUUUGGAGCCGUGGACUUAUUAGAUCAAGAGCUAACCCUGCUUGCAGGACUGAGCUGAAUCAUAGUAAUUUUGCUAAUCGCAGAGGUCUUGUACCGGCGAUGGGUCAUUCAAAUUUCUGCCCUAUCAGCUGUGAUGUUAGUGUAGUGGACUAACAUGGCAUAAACGGGUGACGGAGGAUUAGGGUCUGAUUCCGGAGAGGGAGCCUGAGAAAUGGCUACCACUUCCAAGGAAGGCAGCAGGCGCGUAAAUUACCCAAUCCCGACACGGGGAGGUAGUGACAAGAAAUAACAAUACCGGAUCUUUCUAAACUCCUUAACAAGGACCAAUU
Molecule: ribosomal RNA, 498 nt
Filed under: uncultured eukaryote
Lineage: Eukaryota
Description: bacterial SSU rRNA
Rfam family: Eukaryotic small subunit ribosomal RNA
Source: RNAcentral